AGAGUUUGAUCCUGGCUCAGGACGAACGCUGGCGGCGUGCCUAAUACAUGCAAGUCGAGCGAGCUGAACCAGCAGAUUCACUUCGGUGAUGACGCUGGGAACGCGAGCGGCGGAUGGGUGAGUAACACGUGGGUAACCUGCCCUAAAGUCUGGGAUACCACUUGGAAACAGGUGCUAAUACCGGAUAACAACAAUAGCUGCAUGGCUAUUGCUUAAAAGGCGGCGAAAGCUGUCGCUAAAGGAUGGACCCGCGGUGCAUUAGCUAGUUGGUAAGGUAAUGGCUUACCAAGGCGACGAUGCAUAGCCGAGUUGAGAGACUGAUCGGCCACAUUGGGACUGAGACACGGCCCAAACUCCUACGGGAGGCAGCAGUAGGGAAUCUUCCACAAUGGGCGAAAGCCUGAUGGAGCAACGCCGCGUGAGUGAAGAAGGUUUUCGGAUCGUAAAGCUCUGUUGUUGGUGAAGAAGGAUAGAGGUAGUAACUGGCCCCUAUUUGACGGUAAUCAACCAGAAAGUCACGGCUAACUACGUGCCAGCAGCCGCGGUAAUACGUAGGUGGCAAGCGUUGUCCGGAUUUAUUGGGCGUAAAGCGAGCGCAGGCGGAAAGAUAAGUCUGAUGUGAAAGCCCCCGGCUUAACCGAGGAAUUGCAUCGGAAACUGUGUUUCUUGAGUGCAGAAGAGGAGAGUGGAACUCCAUGUGUAGCGGUGGAAUGCGUAGAUAUAUGGAAGAACACCAGUGGCGAAGGCGGCUCUCUGGUCUGUAACUGACGCUGAGGCUCGAAAGCAUGGGUAGCGAACAGGAUUAGAUACCCUGGUAGUCCAUGCCGUAAACGAUGAGUGCUAAGUGUUGGGAGGUUUCCGCCUCUCAGUGCUGCAGCUAACGCAUUAAGCACUCCGCCUGGGGAGUACGACCGCAAGGUUGAAACUCAAAGGAAUUGACGGGGGCCCGCACAAGCGGUGGAGCAUGUGGUUUAAUUCGAAGCAACGCGAAGAACCUUACCAGGUCUUGACAUCUAGUGCCAUCCUAAGAGAUUAGGAGUUCCCUUCGGGGACACUAAGACAGGUGGUGCAUGGCUGUCGUCAGCUCGUGUCGUGAGAUGUUGGGUUAAGUCCCGCAACGAGCGCAACCCUUG
RNAcentral lists this ribosomal RNA (1133 nucleotides) under Lactobacillus sp. ASF360. RNAcentral's name for it is "bacterial SSU rRNA". It matches the Rfam family "Bacterial small subunit ribosomal RNA", at positions 8 to 1107 of the family's 1533-position model. The record is from RNAcentral. Lineage: Bacteria; Bacillati; Bacillota; Bacilli; Lactobacillales; Lactobacillaceae.